RNAcentral lists this long non-coding RNA (207 nucleotides) under Lathyrus oleraceus (garden pea). RNAcentral's name for it is "Pisum sativum (pea) long non-coding RNA (PSAT_LNC009418)". The record is from RNAcentral. Lineage: Eukaryota; Viridiplantae; Streptophyta; Magnoliopsida; Fabales; Fabaceae.
UUAGGCCACAGGGCAAGGGACCGGAAACAAAACCUGUUUAUGCAUAUGAUGCAUGCAAUGUUUGUGCAUAUGAUUUGUUUUUUAUUUCAAAGGAACUUUAGAGUUUUAUUUGCAAAUUCUGGAAAUAUUAAGCAUUUUAUCACAUAUGGAAAUAUCUCAUCAAAUAAUAUCAGGGAAAAGAAGUGCAGCAUCGUCAAUCAUAUACAA